CUAGCUCUGUAUUGGUCAUGAUUAAUAUCAAAAGAAUGCAACUUUAGAGCAAAUUCUUGGGAUUUCUUCGUGUCUGCCCCUGAGACUGUAGAGGACGGUAAUCUGAGGCUAGAGGGGACACUUGCCUCUAGCUAUGAGAGCCCGGGGAUUUGGGGGGAAAGCCUGAGCACGUCUAGAGAGGAGUCACAGAAGCUUUCUCCUCCGCUCGGGAUGAUUCAUCAGGUGGGGGAAGUCCCAGUCUGGGACUCGGUUGAGAAGUCCUAGGGAGUUGCCCACAGCCCACGUGUGGUCCUGACUACUUGGAAAAGCCACCAUCAAAAAUGAAACCUCACCAUGAAAAAGAUUUAGAACCUUGGGAAGAUAAAGAGGAGCAAGAAUUGUGCCCUGUACCAAGGAGGCACUACUGAAUGAAAUAAAAUGAAAUGUGUGCUUAGCAUCUCCUUUCCU
Molecule: long non-coding RNA, 447 nt
Organism: Gracilinanus agilis (Agile Gracile Mouse Opossum)
Lineage: Eukaryota; Metazoa; Chordata; Mammalia; Didelphimorphia; Didelphidae
Exons: 3
Source: RefSeq, a predicted model, not a curated record